Molecule: ribosomal RNA, 152 nt
Filed under: Staphylococcus epidermidis
Lineage: Bacteria; Bacillati; Bacillota; Bacilli; Caryophanales; Staphylococcaceae
Description: partial 23S ribosomal RNA
Rfam family: Bacterial large subunit ribosomal RNA
Source: RNAcentral
AGCAUCUAAGCAUGAAGCCCCCCUCAAGAUGAGAUUUCCCAACUUCGGUUAUAAGAUCCCUCGAAGAUGACGAGGUUAAUAGGUUCGAGGUGGAAGCGUGGUGACACGUGGAGCUGACGAAUACUAAUCGAUCGAAGACUUAAUCAAUUUUU